UGGCUCAGAGGUUAAAGCGUCUGCUUGCAAUGCAGGAGACCGGGGUUCGAUCCCUG
This 56-nucleotide transfer RNA is filed under the name Capra hircus (goat). It matches the Rfam family "tRNA", at positions 8 to 63 of the family's 71-position model. From Rfam's summary of the family: Transfer RNA (tRNA) molecules are approximately 80 nucleotides in length. Their secondary structure includes four short double-helical elements and three loops (D, anti-codon, and T loops). The record is from Rfam by way of RNAcentral. Lineage: Eukaryota; Metazoa; Chordata; Mammalia; Artiodactyla; Bovidae. RNAcentral also lists the same sequence under 1 other name.